This 292-nucleotide ribosomal RNA is filed under the name uncultured bacterium. Its description in RNAcentral is "partial 16S ribosomal RNA". It matches the Rfam family "Bacterial small subunit ribosomal RNA", at positions 505 to 796 of the family's 1533-position model. The record is from RNAcentral.
GUGUCAGCAGCCGCGGUAACACGUAGGAGCCAAGCGUUAUCCGAAUUCACUGGGCGUAAAGCGCGUGUAGGCGGUCUUACAAGUUGGAUGUGAAAGCUCCUGGCUCAACUAGGAGAGGACGUUCAAUACUGUGAGACUAGAGGACGGCAGAGGAAGGUGGAAUUCCCGGUGUAGUGGUGAAAUGCGUAGAUAUCGGGAGGAACACCAGAGGCGAAGGCGGCCUUCUGGGCCGAUCCUGACGCUCAGACGCGAAAGCUAGGGGAGCAAACGGGAUUAGAAACCCCCGUAGUCC